Molecule: non-coding RNA, 45 nt
Filed under: Schistosoma mansoni
Lineage: Eukaryota; Metazoa; Platyhelminthes; Trematoda; Strigeidida; Schistosomatidae
Source: RNAcentral
AUCCAGUUGAUGAGUUCCAAAUAGGACGGAACGUGUGUCCUUGAU